UACGUAGGGCGCAAGCGUUGUCCGGAAUUAUUGGGCGUAAAGAGCUCGUAGGCGGUUUGUCGCGUCUGCUGUGAAAUCCCGAGGCUCAACCUCGGGCUUGCAGUCGAUACGGGCAGACUUGAGUUCGGUAGGGGAGACUGGAAUUCCUGGUGUAGCGGUGAAAUGCGCAGAUAUCAGGAGGAACACCGGUGGCGAAGGCGGGUCUCUGGGCCGAUACUGACGCUGAGGAGCGAAAGCGUGGGGAGCGAACAGG
Molecule: ribosomal RNA, 253 nt
Filed under: uncultured bacterium
Lineage: Bacteria
Description: partial 16S ribosomal RNA
Rfam family: Bacterial small subunit ribosomal RNA
Source: RNAcentral